CACAAAGUAAAGUGCAUAAGUAAAGGGUUCGGGUAAGAGAUAACCGAGGCACGAGGAGACGAUGAUGUAUCCCGAAGUUCACACCCUUGCGGAUGCUAAUCUCCGUUAGAGCGGUGUGGAGGCACAAUGCUCCCCAAGAUGCCACUAAGGGCACCGUAAUCUCCUCACGCCCUCGCACAAUGCAAGAUGUUGUGAUUCCACUAAGG
This 206-nucleotide long non-coding RNA is filed under the name Hordeum vulgare. RNAcentral's name for it is "long non-coding RNA (HVUL_LNC018543)". Lineage: Eukaryota; Viridiplantae; Streptophyta; Magnoliopsida; Poales; Poaceae. The record is from RNAcentral.